This 1427-nucleotide ribosomal RNA is filed under the name uncultured organism. Its description in RNAcentral is "16S ribosomal RNA". It matches the Rfam family "Bacterial small subunit ribosomal RNA". The record is from RNAcentral.
CGGCGUGGAUAAGACAUGCAAGUCGAACGGGAGAAUUGCUAGCUUGCUAAUAAUUCUCUAGUGGCGCACGGGUGAGUAACACGUGAGUAACCUGCCUCUUAGUGGGGGAUAGCCCUGGGAAACCGGGAUUAAUACCGCAUACGAUUGAAAGAUCAAAGCAGCAAUGCGCUAGGAGAUGGGCUCGCGGCCUAUUAGUUAGUUGGUGAGGUAACGGCUCACCAAGGCGAUGACGGGUAGCCGGUCUGAGAGGAUGUCCGGCCACACUGGAACUGAGACACGGUCCAGACACCUACGGGUGGCAGCAGUCGAGAAUCAUUCACAAUGGGGGCAACCCUGAUGGUGCGACGCCGCGUGGGGGAAUGAAGGUCUUCGGAUUGUAAACCCCUGUCAUGUGGGAGCAAAUUAAAAAGAUAGUACCACAAGAGGAAGAGACGGCUAACUCUGUGCCAGCAGCCGCGGUAAUACAGAGGUCUCAAGCGUUGUUCGGAAUCACUGGGCGUAAAGCGUGCGUAGGCUGUUUCGUAAGUCGUGUGUGAAAGGCAGGGGCUCAACCCCUGGAUUGCACAUGAUACUGCGAGACUAGAGUAAUGGAGGGGGAACCGGAAUUCUCGGUGUAGCAGUGAAAUGCGUAGAUAUCGAGAGGAACACUCGUGGCGAAGGCGGGUUCCUGGACAUUAACUGACGCUGAGGCACGAAGGCCAGGGGAGCGAAAGGGAUUAGAUACCCCUGUAGUCCUGGCAGUAAACGGUGCACGCUUGGUGUGCGGGGAAUCGACCCCCUGCGUGCCGGAGCUAACGCGUUAAGCGUGCCGCCUGGGGAGUACGGUCGCAAGAUUAAAACUCGAAGAAAUUGACGGGGACCCGCACAAGCGGUGGAGUAUGUGGCUUAAUUCGAUGCAACGCGAAGAACCUUACCUGGGCUUGACAUGUAAUGAACAACAUGUGAAAGCAUGCGACUCUUCGGAGGCGUUACACAGGUGCUGCAUGGCCGUCGUCAGCUCGUGUCGUGAGAUGUUUGGUUAAGUCCAGCAACGAGCGCAACCCCUGUUGCCAGUUACCAGCACGUCAAGGUGGGGACUCUGGCGAGACUGCCCAGAUCAACUGGGAGGAAGGUGGGGACGACGUCAGGUCAGUAUGGCCCUUAUGCCCAGGGCUGCACACGUACUACAAUGCCCAGUACAGAGGGGGCCGAAGCCGCGAGGCGGAGGAAAUCCUGAAAACUGGGCCCAGUUCGGACUGUAGGCUGCAACCCGCCUACACGAAGCCGGAAUCGCUAGUAAUGGCGCAUCAGCUACGGCGCCGUGAAUACGUUCCCGGGUCUUGUACACACCGCCCGUCACAUCAUGGAAGCCGGUCGCACCCGAAGUAUCUGAAGCCAACCGCAAGGAGGCAGGGUCCUAAGGUGAGACUGGUAACUGGGAUGAAGUC